UUUUGAUCUAAAACUCUAAAUUGAGUGCCUCUUUUUGCAUUAUGCUCCUUAUGACUCAUAUUUUCCAAAACCCUCAUGGCAUUGCAUGAAUGAGCAUCACAUGAUCAUUGGUUCAUGCAUGUGUUUUUUGGAGGGAAAAUCAUGAAUUUAAAUUUGGUUGAUCAUGUGAGUUUUCUAGCCAUUCCAUCAUGUUCAUGAGAUCAUUUUAAGUGAAAAUACACCAUGCAUGCUACUGUUCACGUUCGUAAUGGCCAUGCAUAGGGUGAAAUUUCCAAUUUGGC
This 281-nucleotide long non-coding RNA is filed under the name Lathyrus oleraceus (garden pea). RNAcentral describes it as "Pisum sativum (pea) long non-coding RNA (PSAT_LNC010376)". Lineage: Eukaryota; Viridiplantae; Streptophyta; Magnoliopsida; Fabales; Fabaceae. The record is from RNAcentral.